This 342-nucleotide ribosomal RNA is filed under the name uncultured bacterium. RNAcentral's name for it is "bacterial SSU rRNA". It matches the Rfam family "Bacterial small subunit ribosomal RNA", at positions 8 to 352 of the family's 1533-position model. The record is from RNAcentral.
AGAGUUUGAUCAUGGCUCAGAUUGAACGCUGGCGGCAGGCCUAACACAUGCAAGUCGAGCGGAUGAUGGGAGCUUGCUCCUGGAUUCAGCGGCGGACGGGUGAGUAAUGCCUAGGAAUCUGCCUGGUAGUGGGGGACAACGUUUCGAAAGGAACGCUAAUACCGCAUACGUCCUACGGGAGAAAGCAGGGGACCUUCGGGCCUUGCGCUAUCAGAUGAGCCUAGGUCAGAUUAGCUUGUUGGUGAGGUAAUGGCUCACCAAGGCGACGAUCCGUAACUGGUCUGAGAGGAUGAUCAGUCACACUGGAACUGAGACACGGUCCAGACUCCUACGGGAGGCAGC